Long non-coding RNA from Mizuhopecten yessoensis (Yesso scallop), 723 nucleotides. RefSeq lists it as uncharacterized. Lineage: Eukaryota; Metazoa; Mollusca; Bivalvia; Pectinida; Pectinidae. The record is from RefSeq and is a predicted model, not a curated record. The transcript has 4 exons.
UAGUAUAACAUUGUACCAUAUAUACAAUAUUAUAUAAAAACUGUCUUUGUUAUAAAUGUGUAUUUUGUAUGUGGGAGAGUGCGAUGUGAUUUGUCAUGUAAACGUUUCUGUGACUGCCCUGUACUCGUCAUGUGACUGUCCUGUAAUCGUCAUGUGACUGUAGACUGUAUGUCUCCUCUUGGCAACCAUAACAUAUUUAAGGAAAGAUUCAAAGAUGAUCACAUACUAAUUUUAGCAUGUCUGUCUGCAAACUUAAAUUUUGGAUCUGUAAUACACCAAUUGUUGAAAAAACUAUUAAAAAAUUAUGUAUAUGAAUGUAUAUAUCUGAAUCGAAAAAGACAUAACAGAUUACUAUCACAUUUAUUUGUAUGAGCUUCCUCCACAUCAGUAUUUGAACAACAAUUGGAAGAAGUUAUGGCGCGACCAUGCAUGACUGACGAGGAAACCUGGAUCGUGUGACAUAAUCAUUAGAAUGGGUGUAUUGAAGUUCCAAGCCAGGAAUUGACACUAUAAGCAACAGGACAACGGCUCAGUUGAAGGUGCGAAAACCGGGCUCCGAGGAAUUUCUUAAGUGAUGCGGAAGGUAAAACCUUCAAAUCACUUUGAGAAGUCCGUAGGAGUUAACAAAGACGUGGUACCUGUACUCCUCUUCCGUGCUUUAUAAACUGAUUCUCUCUAAUUAUCUGUACCGAUCAUUGCAAGAGUAAAAAGUUAUUUUGUUUA